AAAAGGGCAUCGGCCUAGAUGAUGGCAGGCUCGUAAUUAGGCCCGUAGCCCCUUCGCCGUCAGGCACAGCACUGGUCGCCGGCUCGCCGCCGUCGCCCCACUUCCACUCCACACCAGGGCACCGCGCCACGGGCACCAGUCGGGGAAAAACCUUGCUCUGCUGCAGUGCUGCGCUGCCCCCAAUCCGUUGUCCAGCUCCGGUUUCGAGGCGGAGGCCGAGGGGGAGGAGGCGGAGGCGCGGACAAGUCGCGGAACAGCGCCGAGAAUUAGGUAUGUCAUGUGAUUCCAUUUAUGUGUAUUUCUCAGGCCCUCAGGCGCCAACUCGCGUACCAUGGCAUAAUAACGUUGUGUUAGUCUCCGGAGAUGCUCAGAUGAUUUGGUAGAACAAACAAAUACUUUGAUUUGAAUCCACGGCCUAGCGAGACAGAUUGGGGAAUAAAAGGCGGAACUCUGUGUAAGCAGACCACUUGUCCUAGGAUUUGUGUGGACUUUAAUGUACGAGCACCGAUUAAUCUACCACCGAGUUCUCAGAUGGAAGGGGAUGCUACAUGCCUGAAAACUAUUACCCGUAGCAAACGACUAAUAUUGGAAACUGAAAAUGAUACACUUACUGAAUUCCACUCUGCGAACGAUCAAUGACGAUGCAGUUAAUCAAAUUACAAAACAUUAUCUAAGCCGAUGCAACAAUAACACAGUAGGCGUUUCCCUUUCACCGUCCAGAUAAGAGGCUUGUCUCUGACAUCCCAUUGGUAUAGCCAGACUGGAAGGAGCUCCCCUCGUUGCUUGCUCCUGAAAUCAUCAGCUGGAACUGCCUUGGAAUUUCACUGUCCAUGGAGUAGGUACGUCGAGGGGUCGCAGAAGCAGACUGCUUUUCACUUGAAACCGUCGGCAACAACCCUUUGAGCCUCGUGGCAACCACAGUCAUGGUUGGCCUGUCGAUGGCUGCGUUUUCCACACAGUUCAUGGCAAGGUCCACCACGCUCUGCAGGGAACUGGCAUCGUACUGAUCUAGCAGCCUCUUAUCUACAACAUCAUGAAUGCUUCCCAUAGCUAUCUUUUGGCGCACCCAAUUUGGUAGGUGGACAGUCUGAGGGUCCAUUAAUAGUGGGGGUUGUCCGGUGAAGAUCUCCAAGAGCACGAUGCCGAAGCUGUAAACGUCUGUCUUGACAGUGAUUUGGUAAGAUGCAUGGUACUCGGGGUCGAUGUACCCAGGAGUGCCAGCAGCAGCAGCAGUAGAUAUGUGCGUGCGAGCAUCGUUAAAAGCCCGCGAAAGCCCAAAAUCAGAUAUUAUCCCCACCAGAUUCUUGUCCAGAAGUAUGUUGGGGGUCUUCACAUCUCUGUGCACUAUUGAUGGGGUGCAUAACUCAUGUAGAUACUCCAGUCCUGCAGUUUAUUCAAACCCGUCCUUUGUCAACACACACAUACAUGACCUAGAAAAGAAGAAAACACACACACACAUAGAUACAUGGCCUAAAGGCAAACACACAACUGAAAUGCGGACCUUGUGCAGCAUCAAGUGCAAUAUGGAGUCGUUGUUCCCAAUUCAAACUAUAGUCACCUCCUGCAUCAGUACACACCAAAUUAAUGUGACUUCCAUUUGAUUUGCUCAUGGUACUAGCAUAAAUACCAAUUUCUGUAAUUUUUGCACAUAUGUAAGCUAAUACAUGCACUUUGAUCUUCAAGAGAUAACUGCUUUUCCUUCUCUCUACCGGAGCAUUUUUAUGUACAAAUCUAAUCAACGAGUGAACCAAGUUAUUGACAUAUUCUUUGAAUACAUACCUCUCUAGUUUUUGGUUUGUUGCUGGCUUUGAAAUAUGUACUUGUUUAUAAUUUGUGGCUAUCAUGCCAUGUUUAGGACCUAUGACUAAGAAUGUAACUGUGGCAGCCCCAGUUGUUUACCUGAUAUUUAUGAUCAUGCCAUGACUAUGACAUUAAGAAUAUGCAGCUCUGCGAAUGCAGCUAUGGUGUCCGCAAUUGUUAGUACAGUAUCUAUACAGAGUAAAUUUGGUCUAUCAACUCAACUAUAUUGAAUAGCAACGUAACACUUUAGUCAAUCAACUACACGUUUAACAUGGAAUUCAGUUUAACAUGAAAAUCCUGAUUGCAGUACAAUGUCAAAGCCAGAUUAGCUUGGUUUUAUAGUUUAUAUUUUUAUAUUAAGACUAGGUCAUGUCAAAUUAGUGAUAAUAAUUAACUGCAAGCCUAAGUCAGCUAUGCUUGAUAGGAACACUAAUAAAAGUUAAGGGAAAACCCACCUCUUAAAAGCUGUUGAAGAUUUCCUCUGGGCAUGAAAUCAUAAACGAGUGCUAGGCAAUUCUUGUUUUGGCAAUAUCCUUGCAAAGUCACGAGAUUCUUGUGAUGAACUUUGGACAAGGUUUGCACCUGCAAUAAUUGAUAGUUACCAAAUAUCCUAGACCUGAAGCCAGUUGCAUUAUUUUAUCGAAUAUGGACUGUGGAAAUGGUUUUGUAUGUUUUGCAACCUUAAUUUUGUCUUGAAGAAAGUAAUGACGUGGCCUAGUUGGUUUCGUGUUAUACCUCAGGGAGGAAGUCUGUUGACUCUGCUAUUGAUUUCUCCAUAAGCACCUUGACAGCUACUUCAUCGUCAUUUUCCAGUGUGCCAUGAUAAACAGUACCAAAACCUCCUUUUCCAACGACUGAUUGGAAGUCGUUUGUUAUGUGCUUCAGCUCUGCGUACGUGAACCGUCUGAUAUCAAUAUGUAGUGGAGUUUCCUCUUCAUACAUAGAAUCUUCAUCAUCUCCCGACUUCCCUGUAGAGUCAAGAAGUUGUUUUUUAGAUGGAAGUUUAGGUACGAAGCUGCUGUCUUCUGUCUACCACCUAUUGCAUUGAUGAAAGGGAAAUUUAGAGCAUAGAAUUUUGUUUUACCUUUCCAGUAUAACUUCCAGAGUAUGCCCAUCACUACUAGGAGGGAUACCAGUACCACAGGAACUAUCACUGCGAUAAGCAUGGUAGAUGUGGUGUUUUUCUUCUUCUUUGAACAGUACGUAUCUUUGACGUUUGAGCAUACAGGAUUGCCUUCUAAUCUAGUGAUACAAUUAAAUAUCAUGCGUAAAAAAUAAGCUCAAAAUAUCUCAGCUUCUCUAUAAAGCUAUGAUUAAUUGAUUAUAACACACCUUUAUGUUCUAACACAACUAACUUGCUAAUAGUGCUUCUAAACAUCUCUACCCUCCAAAAGAACAAACUACAUGGUUUCUAAAUCAUGUGCAGUUACUAAUAGGUCCUUAUCUACCUCUCAUUUUGAAAGCCCAUAGAUGACAAAAGUAUUUAUAGUCACUAGAUGCUAGUACAUGUAAUUAAAGGCACAUUUGGAUCGAUGAAAUGCACAGGGAAGUGUGUCUCAAAAGAUUUUUUUGUGGCACUCAGAUUGGCCACCACAAUUUGGUAAAAAAUACCAAAAGUUUAUGUAUAUGCCAAGUGGGGAUGCUCUGGCAUAGUGCUAGCAAAGUGUGGCACGCCACAAGCAUGCCACUAACCAAACAGUGGCCAGAAAAAGGCAAAUUCAGAUGCGUUUUAACCAAUGCACUCCCAUAUGUGCAAAGAUGCUGCUAGACCUGGAAUUGUUUUCUUUGAUAACCAACUUUAUGCUGAGCCUAUUCCUUUUAGGUGUAGUUGUUUAGUUUUAAGAUAAAAAAUCUAGUAAGGAAUUGUGCAAUGGAGCAUGGCAAAACCUUAAGUCCAGCGAACCGGCCUGAAAUCUUUGAAGAAUAGAAUCAGGGAUUGGUCCAUCUAGCUUGUUAUUUGACAAGUCACUGAAAAACAAUAGUAAAAAUCAUUCAUCUAAAAUUUAUACCAUCAGCCACAAAUGUAAUCAGCACUACCAUCAACCACAGAUGUAAUCAGCAUGUAGACUUACAGAAAUUUAAGUGACUUUAAUUGAUAGUCUGGAAUAGCUCCCGUCAAAUUGUUGUGUGAUAAAUCCCUAUAUAUAUAUUUUUUUGUUAUUAGGGUCACAAAAGAUGUCAACAUAAUUUCAUUGAGCCCAUCAAUAUUAUGUGGUGGGCACCACUUACAAGUUUUCAAGCGAUGUCAUGUUCAUGAAUGAUAUGGCAAAUCCACCCCUCAGUCUGCUGGUAGACAGAUUUCUGCAAAACCAACUCAUUUUAAUACAAGUCAUCUUAAUCUAGUGAUAGCAUCGAGCUAACAUGGAUUUUGAAGAUUACAUAAAUAUCCUUAUGUGGUUCAGGUCUACACUAAAUUACGUCUGCUUUCAGGUUUCAACUAAAUUACAUGUGUUUUCAAGAUCUUAGCCAGUAAGUCACGUGACUGAGUUUCUUCCUAGGUGAUAUAUGUAUAAAAACAUGAACAUAUCUGGAGCAACAUGUAAACCAAAAGGAGCUUUUGCGGGAGGGUUAAAUUGCUUGGGGUUGAUGCAAUGCACUUCAAAGGUUUAGAAGAUUGAAUUGGAAUGUUUAGAUAUUUCAAAAUGUAUAUGAUAUAAGUCCUGGUUAUGCUCUUACACUGUGACAAUCCUUGGAUUCUGGUUGCUCUUAGAGUAGUCGCAAGUCAAACCUUCCCAGGAAUACUCUCUCGGGGAGCAUGGAUCUCCAUUCCAGUUUCUUUGUGCCAAAUUGUAGUGCGUCUUGACUUCUUUUAUAUACUUGGCUACAACAGCAAAAGUCAAUGGAAACAAAUAUGCACGGCAUAUAGUAGCUGUAUAAGUUGGGUAUGGGCGGCUUAUAUUAUAUGUUUUUAGAAGAUGAAAAGAUUAGCUUAAGAAGCUGCAAUAUUGUNNNNNNNNNNNNNNNNNNNNNNNNNNNNNNNNNNNNNNNNNNNNNNNNNNNNNNNNNNNNNNNNNNNNNNNNNNNNNNNNNNNNNNNNNNNNNNNNNNNNNNNNNNNNNNNNNNNNNNNNNNNNNNNNNNNNNNNNNNNNNNNNNNNNNNNNNNNNNNNNNNNNNNNNNNNNNNNNNNNNNNNNNNNNNNNNNNNNNNNNNNNNNNNNNNNNNNNNNNNNNNNNNNNNNNNNNNNNNNNNNNNNNNNNNUCAUUUAUCAUCUAUGAUCUUCCCAUGGCACAUUGGCAUCAAUUGACCUUAAGAAGAUGGCUUACUCAGGAGUUGAAUGUACAACUAAAUCUGUUGGUUGAUAAAUUUAAUCCUAUUACUCUAGUAAAGAUCGUGACAAUGUCAACUGGAGUUUGUUAAUCUUUAGGGGUCGAGAUAGCGAGACCUCGGUCAUUAGCAUUGGAAACUGCAAGAUGAUCAUGUGAAUCUGUCAUACAUGGCAAAUGUGCAAUGCAUGUGCAGUAUGUAAAUUAAUCUUACCAUCGCCAGAGUCAGUGGUGAGAUUAUCCAUCCGGACGAGCGAGUACACCUCCAAAGCGUUGAUGAGCGGCGGAAGUCUCGAGCUGCUCGUCUUGUUCAAGGUGAAGAAUACAUCGGCGUUUUGCAGGAAGUGCCCGAUCUUGUACUUGCUGUCCAUCUGGAAUCGCAAUGGGGAAAAGUCUGGAAACAGCAAACCUUCGGCGCUGUAGAUGUCAAACCUCCUGCUCAGGCUGCUGUUGCUGAUAUCAGCAAAGUGAAAGAUCGGGAGAAGCUGUAGGCUCUUGGUGUCUAGAUUGGGACCCGCUGCCACGAUGAUGCUCGUGCUGGAGAUGUUCAUGUCUAUGGUUGAAGCCUUCUGGAAGAUGGUCGACGGCACAUUGAAGGCACUGUCGCCGGGGAGUCUCUCCACUUUUUUGUCAGUGUCAAGGUUGAUCCAGGCAUAGGAUGUGCGGGGCCAGCUCUCCCAGAACCGGUCAUAAUCGUCUGUUGGAUAUCUUUAUGGCACAGAGACUAGGAGAAUUAGAUAAAUAGCCAGCAGAGCACACUAAUCUUUUGGUAUUUUACUUAAAAAAGGCACUUGCUAUGGGAUUUAGCAAUCCCAACUUCAUACUCCAUCCGAUCCAUAUUAAUUGUCGCCGAUUUAGUUUUUCUUUUGGCAAAAUAAUCCCAGCUUCAUAUCACCUUGAGAUUUAAAUUUUGUUACGUGCAACUUACAUGUAACUGCAGCAUCUAGAAAACAAAGGACCAAACACUUUAAAUGCGUUUAAUCUAGCAAAUUAAAUUUAAGACCAUUGUCAGGCAUAAGUCAGAUCUAAUCUUAAACUAUAAUGGAUGGCAGCCUCCUCUCACCUUGUGAUAGGGUCGGUGACGUUGCCAAAUCUGAUCCGGUUAAAGUAGCUGAUUGACACUGAAGUAUUCACAAAAGGGUACAUCGUAUCUUGCAGUGGCCUCAGCUCCAACGAAGACACAAAGGGAGUCCCUGUACCAAAGUUUAUCAGACAGACUGAAAGGUUGUUGCCCGGAGCAACGGUGAGCACUUCCUUCCAUAUUGUGCUUGAUGGAUCCGUAUUUGUCAAGUUUACUGCCUCCCAGAAAUUGACACCGAUAUGGAGCCCAAACCGAAACAAAGACCCGCCCAUAGUCCUGUUCAACCUAUCGUAGUUGCCGUAAGUAAACAUGGCCCUCAAUAGAUACUUCUGACCUAUGGUGGAUGGCAGUGUAUAGCAAUUCCUUGAGCCGUCAGGGAAGCUUCUCAGGGUCUUUUGUUGCUCAUUCCCCGCACCAGCCAUGAACUCUUUCAAAAUUUCGUUGCUCAAUCCGCCGUCGACCAAUUCACCAUCAAAACGGUACGGUAUUUUUAGAGUGCUGUCGAUGUAGGCGCUACUGUUUGUGAAUCCACAAUCGAUGUUUACGAACCCUGCAUAAUGGAGAGUAUGUAUCAGUUUUACGUGCUUCGAGUUUAAGAUCUACUGAGACUCUGACAGCAUCUCUAGCACAUCCCUAGUAAUUUAAUUCUCCGUCCUAUUCCCAUCCUUUAAUUCCCUAUUUAUUAGGAAUUAAACUUUUGUCCAUCAAAUCCAUCUCCCAAAACUUAUUUUUCAAUAUAAUUUUUGCACACAAAUUCAUUUGAAACAUAAAUUUAAACUAGUUCAUUGCAUAUUAAUCAACGCCACCACAUUAAGAUCAAACCUAGCAUAUUUAAACAUACCAAUACCGACUACCAUACCAUUACAUCGACAUUGAACUAGGUAAAACAUCGACAUAAACCGGAUAGAACUAGAUACUACACAGAUAAAGACAAGCUCCAUUCCUCGUUGUCCUCGGAGAACUCCUUCUCAGGGGAGAUGGGGAUCACCCCCUCCCUGCCCCGUCGGAGGGGCCGCCCUUGGGGACAUCAUAAGAGCAUUACCUAUUUGAGUACCUAUAGUUUUGUGCCGUUAAUUUGAAUGUAGAAGUACCUGAUAUGUCAUGUGCUUUUGCACGUACAGCUUACUAGUAUCGAGAAAAAUGGGCUAGAGGCAAAAGUUUUUGAGAGCUGUUUUCUUUUUCUUUUAACUAAAGGAAAUGAGGGAUGGGCUAGAUGGGUGUUAAUUCCCUAAACCAAAAUGUUCUGUCCAUAUAUAACUUUCAGAAAUGCUCUAAGCAAUGAUCAUGACAUGUUUGACUAGGCAUGCGGUAGCUACUAAUUUGUUGAUUUCUGAGGUUUUCAGUAAAGUGAGAUUUCUUAAGUUGCACGCUGAAGUAAACUGAACUGUGGGUGCAGAUGGAGCAGAGCUUAGAAAGGUGCUGGAUCUGGAAGGGGAAAAGCUCAGAGGAUAUGACAUGAAUUACCAUCGGUAGUAGACUGGCCAUGUACUUGAAUC
Molecule: long non-coding RNA, 7640 nt
Filed under: Triticum aestivum (bread wheat)
Lineage: Eukaryota; Viridiplantae; Streptophyta; Magnoliopsida; Poales; Poaceae
Description: long non-coding RNA (TAES_LNC026043)
Source: RNAcentral